GGUGGUGUAUCUCAGUGGUAGAAGUGCUUACUCAGCAUGCAAGAGGCCUUGGGUUCUAUCCCCAGCACAGCAA
This 73-nucleotide transfer RNA is filed under the name Marmota monax (woodchuck). Its description in RNAcentral is "tRNA.Ala". Lineage: Eukaryota; Metazoa; Chordata; Mammalia; Rodentia; Sciuridae. The record is from RNAcentral.